This 69-nucleotide transfer RNA is filed under the name Lamproblatta albipalpus. RNAcentral's name for it is "tRNA-Gln". It matches the Rfam family "tRNA". From Rfam's summary of the family: Transfer RNA (tRNA) molecules are approximately 80 nucleotides in length. Their secondary structure includes four short double-helical elements and three loops (D, anti-codon, and T loops). Lineage: Eukaryota; Metazoa; Arthropoda; Insecta; Blattodea; Lamproblattidae. The record is from RNAcentral.
UAUGUUUUGGUGUAUGGUGCACAUGAAUUUUUGAUAUUUUUGGUAAUAGUUCAAUUCUGUUAAAUAUAA